GACGAACGCUGGCGGCGUGCUUAACACAUGCAAGUCGAACGGAAAGGCCCUGCUUUUGUGGGGUGCUCGAGUGGCGAACGGGUGAGUAACACGUGAGUAACCUGCCCUUGACUUUGGGAUAACUUCAGGAAACUGGGGCUAAUACCGGAUAGGAGCUCCUGCUGCAUGGUGGGGGUUGGAAAGUUUCGGCGGUUGGAGAUGGACUCGCGGCUUAUCAGCUUGUUGGUGGGGUAGUGGCUUACCAAGGCUUUGACGGGUAGCCGGCCUGAGAGGGUGACCGGCCACAUUGGGACUGAGAUACGGCCCAGACUCCUACGGGAGGCAGCAGUGGGGAAUAUUGCACAAUGGGCGGAAGCCUGUUGCAGCAACGCCGCGUGCGGGAUGACGGCCUUCGGGUUGUAAACCGCUUUCGCCUGUGACGAAGCGUGAGUGACGGUAAUGGGUAAAGAAGCACCGGCUAACUACGUG
Molecule: ribosomal RNA, 468 nt
Filed under: uncultured bacterium
Lineage: Bacteria
Description: partial 16S ribosomal RNA
Rfam family: Bacterial small subunit ribosomal RNA
Source: RNAcentral